This 88-nucleotide transfer RNA is filed under the name Muribaculaceae bacterium. RNAcentral's name for it is "tRNA-Ser". It matches the Rfam family "tRNA". From Rfam's summary of the family: Transfer RNA (tRNA) molecules are approximately 80 nucleotides in length. Their secondary structure includes four short double-helical elements and three loops (D, anti-codon, and T loops). The record is from RNAcentral. Lineage: Bacteria; Pseudomonadati; Bacteroidota; Bacteroidia; Bacteroidales; Muribaculaceae. RNAcentral also lists the same sequence under 1 other name.
GGAGCGAUGCUCGAGUGGCUGAAGAGGCACGCCUGGAAAGCGUGUGUGCGCCAAAAGCGUACCGCGGGUUCGAAUCCCGCUUGCUCCG